CAUCCCUUCAGGACUAUUACAUUCAAACAGAAUUCGGCAGUGUCUGACUAAGUGACCUGAUCAGGGGUAACUCAUCUCAGCCCUUAUCACAUCUUCACUUGUCACAUCCGCACUUUAAAAAAGGAUUACGUUCAACUGCUCUGUUCAAAGUUAGUUCUGUACCAUGAACAACAGUUCAGGCUCUAAAUGUUCUUUUCUUUUUUUUUUUUAAAUCGAGCAUUAGUUAAUCGCCAGAUCAAUGACAUGACAGAUAAACCAAUCGGAGCGGGGAAUUUGUUUUAUACUUUACUAGAAUGGCGCCGGCGGUAUUUAAUCGAACACAGUAGAAAGUCAAUAAAGGACAACCCAUCCACGUGGCUUGGCUGUAAUGAACAAAUUGCCAAUGAGAAGGAUAUAAACAGAGGUUCCGAGAGACUGCAGAAAUCGCGAAUAAAAAAAGUUUUGGUAUUGAAUGUCUGUGCAAGUUUCCUUUUCAGUUAUGAAAAACAUGAUUCUUUUCUCGACUCUUGUUUUGCUUUUUCGACUUGCAUCAUAUACUUGCAAAGCACAAAAGUGUAAUUUGGAAGGAAAAUGGAUAAAUGAUCUUGGAUCCAACAUGAUUAUUUACAAGAGAAAUAACAAGGGAAUCUUCUUUGGCUCAUACUUCACUGCAGUGACAACAGAAAAGAACGUGAAAAUUACUCCAUCGCCCAUCUCUGGAGUUGUACAUAAUUCUUCUGAGCCGGUAUUUGCUUUCCUUGUUAAGUGGUCUUUCUCAGGUAAAGCAAUACUUUUGUCCAUUGCACAGUAUAUCAGAAACUCCUAGCACUAUGAGCACUUGUAUAA
Molecule: long non-coding RNA, 825 nt
Organism: Polyodon spathula (Mississippi paddlefish)
Lineage: Eukaryota; Metazoa; Chordata; Actinopteri; Acipenseriformes; Polyodontidae
Exons: 3
Source: RefSeq, a predicted model, not a curated record